Molecule: long non-coding RNA, 628 nt
Organism: Maylandia zebra (zebra mbuna)
Lineage: Eukaryota; Metazoa; Chordata; Actinopteri; Cichliformes; Cichlidae
Source: RefSeq, a predicted model, not a curated record
UCCAUGUGUAUGAGAACGGCUCUGACCAGCCUGAAGAACAGCACAAGGAUUACAAAGGCCUAACAAAGAUGAAGAGAAACUUUCUGGAACCUGGAGACCUCAGUCUGACCCUGAAAUACCCCACAAUCACACACACGUACACCUGCACCGUCCACAGCAGGGAGGGAAAGAUCCUGCUGCUCUUUGUCAGUGGAGUCCCCCAGAAGGAGGUGGAUGCAGGAAAGGACUUUGUACAGCUGUCCUGUAAAACCACACUUGAUUUACCUCAUGAUGCUGAAGUGGAGAGACGCUAACAGGAAGGUCCACGUGUAUCAGGAUGGCUGUGAUCAGCCAGAUAGACAGGAUCAGGAUUACAGAGGCCGAACAGAGAUGAAUAAAGACCUGCUGAAAUCUGGAGACCUCAGUCUGACCCUGAAACACCCCACAGAGAGAGACACACAAGUCUACACCUGCACCGUCUACAGCCAAGAGGGAAACAUCGUGUUUAAGAAAGCAGUGAGCAAUCUGAGAGUCAAAGGGAGAGUUCAGGUCCAGGAUCAAACAGGGGACAUCAGGAACAGAAGCAGCUCCAUUGAUCCGACUCCUCUGAUGGCUGAUCAAUCAGUUUGAUCUGUGUGUUCUUUGAUUA